GCCCCUGUGGUGGAAUUGGUAGACACGACAGACUCAAAAUCUGUUGCCCGCAAGGGCGUGCUGGUUCGAGUCCGGCCAGGGGCACCA
This 87-nucleotide transfer RNA is filed under the name Geminicoccaceae bacterium. Its description in RNAcentral is "tRNA-Leu". It matches the Rfam family "tRNA". Rfam says of the family: Transfer RNA (tRNA) molecules are approximately 80 nucleotides in length. Their secondary structure includes four short double-helical elements and three loops (D, anti-codon, and T loops). The record is from RNAcentral. Lineage: Bacteria; Pseudomonadati; Pseudomonadota; Alphaproteobacteria; Geminicoccales; Geminicoccaceae.